This 103-nucleotide small nuclear RNA is filed under the name Prolemur simus (greater bamboo lemur). Lineage: Eukaryota; Metazoa; Chordata; Mammalia; Primates; Lemuridae. The record is from RNAcentral.
GUGCUCACUUUGGCAGCCCACAUACUAAAAUUAGAAUGAUACAGAGAUUAGCAUGGCCUCUGGGCAAGGAUGACACCAGAUUCAUGAAGUGUUUCAUAUUUUU